UUAAAUUGAAGAGUUUGAUCAUGGCUCAGAUUGAACGCUGGCGGCAGGCCUAACACAUGCAAGUCGAACGGUAACAGGAAACAGCUUGCUGUUUCGCUGACGAGUGGCGGACGGGUGAGUAAUGUCUGGGAAACUGCCUGAUGGAGGGGGAUAACUACUGGAAACGGUAGCUAAUACCGCAUAACGUCGCAAGACCAAAGAGGGGGACCUUCGGGCCUCUUGCCAUCGGAUGUGCCCAGAUGGGAUUAGCUAGUAGGUGGGGUAACGGCUCACCUAGGCGACGAUCCCUAGCUGGUCUGAGAGGAUGACCAGCCACACUGGAACUGAGACACGGUCCAGACUCCUACGGGAGGCAGCAGUGGGGAAUAUUGCACAAUGGGCGCAAGCCUGAUGCAGCCAUGCCGCGUGUAUGAAGAAGGCCUUCGGGUUGUAAAGUACUUUCAGCGGGGAGGAAGGGAGUAAAGUUAAUACCUUUGCUCAUUGACGUUACCCGCAGAAGAAGCACCGGCUAACUCCGUGCCAGCAGCCGCGGUAAUACGGAGGGUGCAAGCGUUAAUCGGAAUUACUGGGCGUAAAGCGCACGCAGGCGGUUUGUUAAGUCAGAUGUGAAAUCCCCGGGCUCAACCUGGGAACUGCAUCUGAUACUGGCAAGCUUGAGUCUCGUAGAGGGGGGUAGAAUUCCAGGUGUAGCGGUGAAAUGCGUAGAGAUCUGGAGGAAUACCGGUGGCGAAGGCGGCCCCCUGGACGAAGACUGACGCUCAGGUGCGAAAGCGUGGGGAGCAAACAGGAUUAGAUACCCUGGUAGUCCACGCCGUAAACGAUGUCGACUUGGAGGUUGUGCCCUUGAGGCGUGGCUUCCGGAGCUAACGCGUUAAGUCGACCGCCUGGGGAGUACGGCCGCAAGGUUAAAACUCAAAUGAAUUGACGGGGGCCCGCACAAGCGGUGGAGCAUGUGGUUUAAUUCGAUGCAACGCGAAGAACCUUACCUGGUCUUGACAUCCACAGAACCUUGUAGAGAUACGAGGGUGCCUUCGGGAACUGUGAGACAGGUGCUGCAUGGCUGUCGUCAGCUCGUGUUGUGAAAUGUUGGGUUAAGUCCCGCAACGAGCGCAACCCUUAUCCUUUGUUGCCAGCGGUCCGGCCGGGAACUCAAAGGAGACUGCCAGUGAUAAACUGGAGGAAGGUGGGGAUGACGUCAAGUCAUCAUGGCCCUUACGACCAGGGCUACACACGUGCUACAAUGGCGCAUACAAAGAGAAGCGACCUCGCGAGAGCAAGCGGACCUCAUAAAGUGCGUCGUAGUCCGGAUUGGAGUCUGCAACUCGACUCCAUGAAGUCGGAAUCGCUAGUAAUCGUGGAUCAGAAUGCCACGGUGAAUACGUUCCCGGGCCUUGUACACACCGCCCGUCACACCAUGGGAGUGGGUUGCAAAAGAAGUAGGUAGCUUAACCUUCGGGAGGGCGCUUACCACUUUGUGAUUCAUGACUGGGGUGAAGUCGUAACAAGGUAACCGUAGGGGAACCUGCGGUUGGAUCACCUCCUUACCUUAAAGAAGC
RNAcentral lists this ribosomal RNA (1556 nucleotides) under Escherichia coli. RNAcentral's name for it is "bacterial SSU rRNA". It matches the Rfam family "Bacterial small subunit ribosomal RNA". The record is from RNAcentral. Lineage: Bacteria; Pseudomonadati; Pseudomonadota; Gammaproteobacteria; Enterobacterales; Enterobacteriaceae.